GCGAUACAGUUGGGGACUGGAGUGAUCUACGCCUGCUGGGAAGAGCAUGUUGUGGUGAUGUCGCUUAUGGCUGCUAUGCUGAUGAUCUUGGCGGGGUCUGGUUUGGCUGUGCCGAAGAUGAAGGCAGAGUUAGAGGUCAAGUACAGGAAGAGAUAUGAACUGGCAUUGAGAGAAGGGACAACGACCAAGGAUAUGAGAAAAACACCUGAGGAACUGAAGGAUGAUCUGAGGAAGUUUUGGAUAAUGGCGCAUAGUAGCGACCCGCAAUUCGUGCUGGGGCGUUCGGCCACGUGUACUGCCUCGGGCGCUCUGUGUAUACUCGGCGCCAUGGUUCUAGCG
RNAcentral lists this long non-coding RNA (339 nucleotides) under Linum usitatissimum (flax). RNAcentral's name for it is "long non-coding RNA (LUSI_LNC005187)". Lineage: Eukaryota; Viridiplantae; Streptophyta; Magnoliopsida; Malpighiales; Linaceae. The record is from RNAcentral.